Molecule: non-coding RNA, 447 nt
Organism: Vicugna pacos (alpaca)
Lineage: Eukaryota; Metazoa; Chordata; Mammalia; Artiodactyla; Camelidae
Source: RefSeq, a predicted model, not a curated record
AAUUAGUUAAAAAAUACAUAAGUAAACCUAAUUACUACCCCCCACCCCUCCUAAAAAAAAAGAUUUUCCCUGGUGAUUCUGAUGUACAGCCAAGGUUGAGAAACACUACCUCUGAUUCAUUAAGUUAGAAUUUCUGAGCUGUAUCCCAGGUAAUUCUCAUAUGUAACCUGGAUUGAGAAGUACUCAUUCAGCUUCUACAGGCAUUGUAUCCCAUUAAUAUAUUUUCAUUUAUUUUCUGCUAUGUCCCAAGCCCUGUGCAAGACCCUGGGUGGAGGAGGGGGUGAGCUAACAGAUUAGGUCCAGCCUCGUAGGAAUUCACCGUCAGCAGCGGAGACUGAGAAGAUACACUUGAUGAGAGUAUGAGAGACAGAAGGCUGUGGGGUGGUGGGAGUCAGGGAGGUUUUUGCUGCAGUUAAAUUUCUAAAAAAUAAAUACAUUAAAAACCUA